Molecule: ribosomal RNA, 1519 nt
Filed under: Porotermes symbiont 77091
Lineage: Eukaryota; Parabasalia
Description: SSU rRNA
Rfam family: Eukaryotic small subunit ribosomal RNA
Source: RNAcentral
AAGGAAGCACACUUAGGCUAUAGAUUAAGCCAUGCAAGUGUUAGUUCAGGCAACGAAACUGCGAACAGCUCAUUAAUACGCUCAGAACCUAUUUGGUUACGACUCAACAGGGUAUUAAAUGGAUAGCAGUAGUAAUUCUAGUGCUAAUACAUGCGAGUCAACCGCCUUAAGCGAACCAAGGCGAGGACAUAACCUUUAUGGUGUACCAUUCGGUUGAGCGCCCUAUCAGCUUGUAGGUAGUAUCUUUAACUAUGUAGGCUAUCACGGGUAACGGGCGGUUACCGUCGGACUGCCGGAGAAGGCGCCUGAGAGACAGCGGCUAUACCCACGGGUAGCAGCAGGCGCGAAACUUACCCACUCGCCAAUGGCGGAGGUGGUAAUAGCCAGUUCCAUCGUCUCGUAAGAGCGGGGGAUAGGCUCACACUUUUCCAGUGUGGGGUAAUCUAGGAGAGGGCCAGUUCUGGUGCCAGCAGCUGCGGUAAUUCCAGCUCUCCGAGUUUGCUCCCAAUGCUACACUUAAAACGCCCGUAGUCUGAUUUCGAAGUUCCGAAAGGAGCGUUCACCGUGAACAAAUCAGGAUGCUUAGAGUAGUUCAUAACUGAAUGACUCAGCGCGGUAUGAAACCUUUACCCUUGUUAAGAGGGUCAGAUCGAUGAGAGCAAUCGGGGGUAGAUCUAUUUCAUGGCGAGCGGCGGAAUGUUUUGACCCAUGAGAGAGAAACGAAUGCGAAAGCAUCUACCUAGAGUGUUUCUGUCGAUCAAGGGCGAGAGUCGCAGGAUCCAACCGGAUUAGAGACCCGGGUAGUUGCGACCUUAAACGAUGCCGACAGGGCCACGUUCCAUGGAGCGGGGUCUUAGGAGAAAUCAUAGUUUCUGGGCUGUGGGGGAACUACGACCGCAAGGCUGAAACUUGAAGGAAUUGACGGAAGGGCGCACCAGGGGUGGAUACUGUGGCUCAAUCUGACUCAACGCGGAGAAACUUACCAGGACCAGAUGUGUUUUAUGACUGACCAGCUAAAGACUGUUCAGGAUAUAAUUUUUGGUGGUGCAUGGCCGUUGGUGGUGCGUGGAUUGAUCUGUCAUGCGUCGAUUCAGAUAACGAGCGAGACUACUGCGGACUAUCUAGGCUUCCAUCCUACUGGAUGUGUCGUCUUCUAAUCGGGACUCCCUGCGUUUAAGCAGGCGGAAGAGGGUAGCAAUAACAGGUCCGUGAUGUCCUUUAGAUGCUCUGGGCUGCACGCGUUCUACAAUGCUAGAAUCACAGGGAAGCUAACCCGAGAGGGCAUGCGACUCCUAUAAUCUCUAGCGUAGUUGGGAUCGACGAUUGUAAUCAUCGUCGUGAACUAGGAAUCCCUUGUAAACGUGUAUCAACAUUGCACGUUGAAUACGUCCCUGCCCUUUGUACACACCGCCCGUCGCUCCUACCGAUUGGAUGGAUUGGUGAAAUUAUUGGACACUUCCGGGUGAAAGGUAAUUAAACCUGUCGAUUUAGAGGAAGGAGAAGUCGUAACAAGGUAUCU